AGUGAACGCUGGCGGUAGGCCUAACACAUGCAAGUCGAACGGCGGCACAGUAAGAGCUUGCUCUUACGGGUGGCGAGUGGCGGACGGGUGAGGAAUACAUCGGAAUCUACUUUUUCGUGGGGGAUAACGUAGGGAAACUUACGCUAAUACCGCAUACGACCUACGGGUGAAAGCAGGGGAUCUUCGGACCUUGCGCGAUUGAAUGAGCCGAUGUCGGAUUAGCUAGUUGGCGGGGUAAAGGCCCACCAAGGCGACGAUCCGUCGCUGGUCUGAGAGGAUGAUCAGCCACACUGGAACUGAGACACGGUCCAGACUCCUACGGGAGGCAGCAGUGGGGAAUAUUGGACAAUGGGCGCAAGCCUGAUCCAGCCAUACCGCGUGGGUGAAGAAGGCCUUCGGGUUGUAAAGCCCUUUUGUUGGGAAAGAAAAGCAGCAGGUUAAUACCCCGCUGUUCUGACGGUACCCAAAGAAUAAGCACCGGCUAACUUCGUG
This 492-nucleotide ribosomal RNA is filed under the name uncultured bacterium. Its description in RNAcentral is "partial 16S ribosomal RNA". It matches the Rfam family "Bacterial small subunit ribosomal RNA", at positions 29 to 507 of the family's 1533-position model. The record is from RNAcentral.